This 788-nucleotide long non-coding RNA is filed under the name Homo sapiens (human). Its description in RNAcentral is "HSALNT0295399". The record is from RNAcentral. Lineage: Eukaryota; Metazoa; Chordata; Mammalia; Primates; Hominidae.
GCAUAAUUGAAGUGGGUGAGAGCCAGUCCAGCACCCUGCAGAGAGUGUGGAAGAUGAUCAAAGUAUGACAUUUCUUCUACCCCAGAGGCUGGCAUUUCUGCAGGCACAAAUGAGCUUGGUUUUCAAGCACUGCUCUUUGAACACAAGGAAUUCCUUUAAUGAUCACGCCGGACUAUAUAGACUUUGGAAUCAGACUCUUUGAAUUCCAGCUCUGCCAUUUACCAACUUUGACACUUUGGACAACGUCUCAUUCUGUCACCCAGGCUGGAGUGCAAUGGCACAAUUAUAGCUCACUGCAGCCUCAAACACCUGGGCUCAAGCAAUCCUUCCACCUCUGCCUCCUGAGUAAUUGGGACUACAGGCAUGUGCCACCACACCCAGCUAAUUUUUAAUUUUUAAUUUUUUUGUAGAGAUGGCGGUCUUGCUAUGUCACCCAGGCUGGUCUUGAACACCUGGCCUCAAGUGAUCCUCCGGCCUUGGUCUCUCAAAGCUCUGGGAUUACAGACAUGAGCCACUGCACCCGGCUCUAUCUCCCCUUCCUAUGUGUGUUAGCUCUAGAACAAGAGAAGCCUUGUUGAGAUUCCUGGCUGCCCACCCCCCAUCACCUCUCUGACUUUGGGCAAGUUGCCUGGCCUCUCUCAGCCUUUAUUUUCUUUUUGUGAAAUGGGGAUAAUAAUAGUACUUGCCUCAUAGGCAAAAUGUUGUGAGAACUAAACGAGAAAAUGCAUGUAAAGCACUUGGCACUUAGUUCUUUUUAUGAUUAUAAUGAUAAUCAGACACAAUAAAUU